AUGAACCAUUGAAAGAAUAACAGAUCAGACUCCUACGUGCUUUAUUUUGGAGCAGUUCCAAAUGGGAGUGGGUGUGGAGGAAAACAGACAAAAACAACAAUGGAAUUUGGACACAAGUCUGGGGAGAUCAUCAUCUGAGAUUUGGCAAUGCUGAAGGAACAGCCACAGGAAAUGGAGAGGCCAUCUGGCAGUCAGUCAACAGGAGGACUAUAUGUGCAGCUGACAGAUAAAUCAGGACACAAUAGCAGAUAAGG
Long non-coding RNA from Alligator mississippiensis (American alligator), 254 nucleotides. RefSeq lists it as uncharacterized. The record is from RefSeq and is a predicted model, not a curated record. The transcript is spliced from 3 exons. NCBI's taxonomy places the organism in Eukaryota, Metazoa, Chordata, Crocodylia, Alligatoridae.